RNAcentral lists this ribosomal RNA (446 nucleotides) under uncultured bacterium. RNAcentral describes it as "partial 16S ribosomal RNA". It matches the Rfam family "Bacterial small subunit ribosomal RNA", at positions 338 to 795 of the family's 1533-position model. The record is from RNAcentral.
CCUACGGGUGGCAGCAGUCGAGAAUCAUUCACAAUGGGGGAAACCCUGAUGGUGCGACGCCGCGUGGGGGAAUGCAGGUCUUCGGAUUGUAAACCCCUGUCAUGUGGGAGCAAAUUAAAAAGAUCGUACCACAAGAGGAAUAGACGGCUAACUCUGUGCCAGCAGCCGCGGUAAUACAGAGGUCUCAAGCGUUGUUCGGACUCACUGGGCGUAAGGCGUGCGUAGGCUGUUUCGUAAGUCGUGUGUGAAAGGCGCGGGCUCAACCCGCGGACGGCACAUGAUACUGGGAGACUAGAGUAAUGGAGGGGGAACCGGAAUGCUCGGUGUAGCAGUGAAAUGCGUAGAUAUCGAGAGGAACACUCGUGGCGAAGGCGGGUUCCUGGACAUUAACUGACGCUGAGGCACGAAGGCCAGGGGAGCGAAAGGGAUUAGAUACCCCUGUAGUC